This 211-nucleotide ribosomal RNA is filed under the name uncultured bacterium. RNAcentral describes it as "partial 16S ribosomal RNA". It matches the Rfam family "Bacterial small subunit ribosomal RNA", at positions 524 to 734 of the family's 1533-position model. The record is from RNAcentral.
UACGGAGGGUGCGAGCGUUGUCCGGAUUUAUUGGGUUUAAAGGGUGCGUAGGUGGCUGAUUAAGUCAGUGGUGAAAUACAGCCGCUCAACGGUUGAGGUGCCAUUGAUACUGAUCAGCUUGAAAGAAUUGGAGGCUGCCGGAAUGGAUGGUGUAGCGGUGAAAUGCAUAGAUAUCAUCCAGAACACCGAUUGCGAAGGCAGGUGGCUACGA